Hevea brasiliensis (rubber tree) is the source of this 1518-nucleotide long non-coding RNA. RefSeq lists it as uncharacterized. The transcript has 2 exons. The record is from RefSeq and is a predicted model, not a curated record. NCBI's taxonomy places the organism in Eukaryota, Viridiplantae, Streptophyta, Magnoliopsida, Malpighiales, Euphorbiaceae.
UUUCAGAAUUUUUGGGCCUCGUUUUCGGUCUCAAGGCAGAUUAAAAAUUCAAAAUUUUGUAUUUCGAAUCGAACCGGCCGAAUCGAACCGGACCGGAUCGGACCAGCCGAAUCGGACCGGCUCCUUCUUCUUCUUCUCUUUUUAUCCCGCGCGUGUUUCCUCCUUCCUCUCUUUCUCUCCUGUUUUCUCUCUCCUCUCUCCUCCCCUUGCCGCGCCGCCGCCUCCACUGCCAUCCCAACCCGCCGGCGCCCGUCCCCAGCCGCCGCCGGAACGCCGGAAAAAGGAGCCCGAAGCGACGCGAUGCGCAAGCGCGCCACUUCGUCUUCCCGGCCGAAUUUCAGCCGAUCCGGCCACCAAUCGGACCGGGUCUUGUGUCUAAAUCCAUCUACUCGUCGAGAGCUUUCCAUAGACACCAAGAACACCGAAAUCCAUUGAGCGGUUUGUCCAAUUUUUGCCCAGGAAUUUUUAGCCAAUUUUGACUUUUGGGCUAGAUUUCUCGCAAACCGUGAACCCCACGAGAAAAUCGAGAGUACCAGAGCGCUCUACUCAUUGAGAGUUUCGCGGCAAUAUAAAUUUUAAAAUUUUCCGACACCGUUUUUCGGUGGGUCCCACAGAACUUCGCAGUGUUUUCCGAGCAUUAAAUGAGCUUAGAAAAUUUCGAAAAAUUUAUGUACUAACCCCCGUGUUGUGGGCUUCGUGUAGGUAUCUUCAAUUCGCGGAAAUUCGACAGUUGUCCGAGUCUGUGAAGUUCCGGCCAGACAGACCGGUUACCGAAAAAGUCUCCGGAUUGAAUCGAGAUUUUGGCUACCCCGCCAUUGUCAGACGUCCCGAGCGCGUCCCCGAAGUCGGAAUCGGCAUAGGUGAGCCAGGACAGCCUUCUUCCUCCGCCCAGCCACCACAGUGAUUGUUGUCAAGUUUGUGAGUAAAAUAUUAAUUUUAAUUGUAAUUUCGAUAUUAUUAUAUGUUCAAGCAUGCCUAUGCAUCACUUAUAUGCAUAUAUCUAUGUAGUUAAACUCUAGGCACGAUUUAUGUUGCAUUCAUAACUGUUAAAGUGCCAUGGAUGUUAUUGUGUUAAUUUGGAGCAGUGUGCGUGCGUUGGCGUGCGUGUGAUGUGGUGUGGACUAUGGAUAGGACAGGUAGACACGGCUUGAGAUCUUCACUGGGACCUGGUCCUUCGGGGGUAGUCACGACUUGAGUUCUUCGCUGGGACCCCGAUUUGGUAUAUUAAGCGAAAGUCUGGCUUGAGUUCUUCGCUGGCACAGGUUGGAUUUAAGAGAGCUGUAUAGGGGAUCAGCUCCCAUAUAUUAUGAUUGAUAUUACUGGGUGUGUGAGUGCUCCAAAUUACCUUUUGCUGUUAUGAUGUGAAUUUAUUGCUGAAGUUGCAUUUCACUCUACAGGGUGCAUUAGUUUUAGAUAGUUAUAGAGAUUAUGGUUAAAAUUGAUAUUUUACUUUUUAAGUCGAACGCUCACUCCUGUUCAAUAUUUUUCCAGGCCACAAGAGGAUAUUUUUGAGGUUAA